CCCAGCAAUUACCGCAAACUAUUUAAGCCCAUCCUCCAUUUAAACAGCAGGUGGCAACAUCCUCCAGUGUAUGAGAGUCUGCCCGUGUUCGCCGAGGGGUUCUCCUGAUUCUCCUGGUUCUCCUCGGCUGAGGAAACACCAGGCUCUGCCUGCAGCCUUUGUGUUUCGUAGGAUCAGUUUGCCCUUGCUCUAAAGCAAAUUUGGAAAUGCAGUGUGCAAGUAUGUUGAAUUAGAGCCAUAAUCCCUGGCUGGAGAAGGCUGACUCUGAGCUCUCACCCUAGAGACCAGCCAUGCAGAGCAGUGCCAUGGCUGGGUCAGCACUGUGCAGAAGCUCUGGAUGGGACAUCCUGGCUGCAAGACCAACAUCAUUCCUGACCCAGGGCCCGUGCUGGAGCCCAGCAUCUGCCCAAGGCAGCACAUCGGCUUUGGACCACUGGAAUGUGCCUACAGACUUUUUCACAGAACCACUGUGUGCUGAACCAGACACCACCGUCACAAAGCAUGGUUUGGAUGCUUCUGUAAACCCUUCCAUGAAAAGAGAGGGGAAUCACAGAAUCAUAGGAUGGCCUGGAUUGAAAAUGACCACAAAGAUUAUCAAGUUUCAACCCCCUUCUAUGUGCAGGGUUGCCGACCACCAGACCAGGCUGCCCAGAGCCACAUCCAGCCUGGCCAUUGGGGUGUGCCUGCUCACCUCCAUCCCCAGGCAGGAGCAUGUCUGCACAUCCCAACCCAUGGACAGACCUUCUGAGGGAGAGUGUCCUGUGUGUAAUCCUAUGGCAAAGCAAGCCAGUAAGUGGUGUGAGAAGAGAAUUCAGCUGUUUCUCCAGAAGGUAUUACAGUCACCUUUGAUGAGCAGAGUCACUGGCACCUCUCUGUGCUAUUUGCUACUUCAGCAGAGCAGGAAAGCAGGGGGAUUCCUGAGGUGCUGCUUCAUUGCCUCUGGCCUCCUAGAGAGGAAAUAACCACAUGAUUAAAAAAAAAAAGAGCAAGUGUCAUGAUGCACCUUGGAUUGUGGUGGCAGCAGUGGCAGCAGCAAGAGUCCAUGUUGUGCUUCCAGCCCACGUUAGCCAGGACUCAAAUCUGUAACUGCUGUGCAUUCCCCAUCAUGGGCUGAGACUGGGAGCAUGGAGGAGAUUACCCAGGCCACCAGCAGUGCCCCAGGACUCACAGCAGCUGUGCUUCCCUCCCCAUCCCUGCCUGAUGGCCCUAAGGUGAACAGAGACCUGAUAUUCUUUCAAUAACCCUGUCAGCUUGGUGCCCUUGGUCAGAAGCAGAGUCAGCAGGUCAGCAGUGGAUGACAAACGAGCUGUUCAGGUGACAGAAGUGCUGCCUGGUGGCUGGCCAGAGCAUUGUUUAGCAUUUAUUUGUGGAAAGUUCAGCCCUGCAGGAGGUUUUGGAGAAGUGCUGCCACUGGUCCUGGAUUGGAGCCAGAGGCUGGUGGAAGGCAGAGGGGGCGAAUGGCACAGGGAAGGCCAGACCCAAAGAGCCUGGCUGCUGGCUCUGUCUGCAAAGGUUUUCUCUGAGCUCAAGUGAUUCUGAAGAACUAGACUGGCAAACAUCACAUGGGGGAGCAAAGACCCUUCUAAACCCGAAGUUAUGAGAUGGAAGCCUGUUCUACUGCAAGCCUGUGUUUCAAGAGCCCUUAUUUCAAAAAUUGUGCACUACCUGCCUGAGCAGUAUUAGGAGUGCAUCAGCCACUUGCAAGGAAGAUGCACCUAUGUCCCCACCAUUACUGCUCUUAUCCGCUGUAUUUGCUGAUCUUGUGUAUCUCUGCAGCAGCAGAGCUCAGAGGUGCUGCAGGACAGGAGAGGCACAUUUCAUAGAUGGAGAAGCACGCAGGAGGGCUGGUGAUGACAGGUUAGUAGUUCUUGUCUCCUGGCUCUCUGUACUGUGUUCUGCAUGAUGGGGCCCACUGCUGGCUGCUGUUCUGAAGCAAGAACAGCUGUUGCCUGUCAUAUGAGCAGGAUAGUGGGUCAGUGCACCAAUGCUUUUAAUUAAUGGAAUUGCCCGAGUUUCUUUGCUGACGUUGAAAUGUGUUCUUCACGUAGCUGUGCUCUCUGCUUUGAAAAGUGGUCACUGCUGCUGUUUUUGUAUGUCUUUUCCCAACCAGUUUCCAAUUUUCUGAGUGUCUGCUCCUCACCCGAUCCUGUGAUCUUCAUCACUGAUGAAGUAAGAGAGUGUUGAGGUUUGCUCAUUUGGGCAAGGAACUGGAGGUACCCUGCCAGGAUCGUGCUUUUUCAAAACAUUAAGCACUCUCUGCAACCUGGGCACCCCCAAAAAAGCAUCCUCUUAAGCCACUGAUCUCUUUUGGAAAUGAGGGCCAAGAUGUUGCUGGCAGCAGGCAGGGUGACCAGCACAAGCUCCCCUCCAGAUCCCCUGCAGUCUUUCUGCUUCUGCUUUCUCCUUGCUGCUCUCCAUCAGCAAUUGCAUGCAGGAGUGGAGGUGAAGGGGACUGUAUUUAACCCAAGCUACCUCCUCUCAUUGCUCAGAACAACUCUCCAUGACCACGAUCUGCUCUUGCUGUGCAGUGAAGGGCCUUUUUGCCUGCAUGUGGUUUCCCUGCAAGGUGGGAGCUGAGGUCAUGUAGGGCAGGAGGU
Long non-coding RNA from Lagopus muta (rock ptarmigan), 2597 nucleotides. RefSeq lists it as uncharacterized. The record is from RefSeq and is a predicted model, not a curated record. The transcript has 3 exons. Lineage: Eukaryota; Metazoa; Chordata; Aves; Galliformes; Phasianidae.